RNAcentral lists this transfer RNA (66 nucleotides) under Xylota coquilletti. RNAcentral's name for it is "tRNA-Cys". Lineage: Eukaryota; Metazoa; Arthropoda; Insecta; Diptera; Syrphidae. The record is from RNAcentral.
AGUCUUAUAUUCAACAAUGAUAUUAAAUUGCAAAUUUAAAGGAAUAAUUUUUAAUUAUUAAGACUU